Molecule: ribosomal RNA, 110 nt
Filed under: Danio rerio (zebrafish)
Lineage: Eukaryota; Metazoa; Chordata; Actinopteri; Cypriniformes; Danionidae
Source: RNAcentral
AGCCACAGCCAUAUCACCCUGCAGCCCAAGACUCAUUGAAGCUAAGCAGGGCUGAGCCUGUUCAGUACCUGGAUGGGAGACCACAUGGGAAAACUAGGUUGCUGUUGGAA